This 870-nucleotide ribosomal RNA is filed under the name Staphylococcus nepalensis. RNAcentral describes it as "bacterial SSU rRNA". It matches the Rfam family "Bacterial small subunit ribosomal RNA", at positions 60 to 914 of the family's 1533-position model. The record is from RNAcentral. Lineage: Bacteria; Bacillati; Bacillota; Bacilli; Caryophanales; Staphylococcaceae.
AGUCGAGCGAACAGAUAAGGAGCUUGCUCCUUUGACGUUAGCGGCGGACGGGUGAGUAACACGUGGGUAACCUACCUAUAAGACUGGAAUAACUCCGGGAAACCGGGGCUAAUGCUGGAUAAUAUUUAGAACCGCAUGGUUCUAAAGUGAAAGAUGGUUUUGCUAUCACUUGUAGAUGGACCCGCGCCGUAUUAGCUAGUUGGUGGGGUAAUGGCUUACCAAGGCAACGAUACGUAGCCGACCUGAGAGGGUGAUCGGCCACACUGGAACUGAGACACGGUCCAGACUCCUACGGGAGGCAGCAGUAGGGAAUCUUCCGCAAUGGGCGAAAGCCUGACGGAGCAACGCCGCGUGAGUGAUGAAGGUCUUCGGAUCGUAAAACUCUGUUAUUAGGGAAGAACAAAUGUGUAAGUAACUGUGCACGUCUUGACGGUACCUAAUCAGAAAGCCACGGCUAACUACGUGCCAGCAGCCGCGGUAAUACGUAGGUGGCAAGCGUUAUCCGGAAUUAUUGGGCGUAAAGCGCGCGUAGGCGGUUUCUUAAGUCUGAUGUGAAAGCCCACGGCUCAACCGUGGAGGGUCAUUGGAAACUGGGAAACUUGAGUGCAGAAGAGGAAAGUGGAAUUCCAUGUGUAGCGGUGAAAUGCGCAGAGAUAUGGAGGAACACCAGUGGCGAAGGCGACUUUCUGGUCUGUAACUGACGCUGAUGUGCGAAAGCGUGGGGAUCAAACAGGAUUAGAUACCCUGGUAGUCCACGCCGUAACGAUGAGUGCUAAGUGUUUAAGGGGUUUCCGCCCCUUAGUGCUGCAGCUAACGCAUUAAGCACUCCGCCUGGGGAGUACGACCGCAAGUUGAACUCAAGGAAUUGAC